GCUGGGCAUGGUGGCGCAUGCCUGUAGUCCUGCUACUUGGGAGGCUGAGGCAGGAGAAUCACUUGAACCCAGGAGGUGGGGGUUGCAGUGAGCCGAGAUCGCACCACUGCACUCCAGCCUGGGCGACAGAGUGAGACUGUGUCUCAA
Molecule: non-coding RNA, 147 nt
Organism: Gorilla gorilla gorilla (western lowland gorilla)
Lineage: Eukaryota; Metazoa; Chordata; Mammalia; Primates; Hominidae
Rfam family: Metazoan signal recognition particle RNA
About the family: The signal recognition particle (SRP) is a universally conserved ribonucleoprotein. It is involved in the co-translational targeting of proteins to membranes. The eukaryotic SRP consists of a 300-nucleotide 7S RNA and six proteins: SRPs 72, 68, 54, 19, 14, and 9.
Source: Rfam